Oppia nitens is the source of this 223-nucleotide long non-coding RNA. RefSeq lists it as uncharacterized. The transcript has 3 exons. The record is from RefSeq and is a predicted model, not a curated record. NCBI's taxonomy places the organism in Eukaryota, Metazoa, Arthropoda, Arachnida, Sarcoptiformes, Oppiidae.
CAUAAGACAAGAACAGACUUUGAGGUCGAGGCACCUCUUGUUUACCAUAAUCUUAUGUAUCCAAUUAAUGGAAACAAUGAAAAGAAAAUUGGGUUUUUGUGGUCCAAUUCAGGCGAUGUUAGUAUAGAUGUGACUAUUGAUAGACAAGGGUAUUGUCAGGGACAAUUCAUAGAUGUUAAGUGUAAUGUUGUUAAUAAAUCAUCAGUAAAAGUACAUCCGAGAG